GACGAACGCUGGCGGCGUGCUUAACACGUGCAAGUCGAACGGAAAGGCCCUGCUGUUGUGGGGUGCUCGAGUGGCGAACGGGUGGGUAACACGUGAGUAACCUGCCCUUGACUUUGGGAUAACUUCAGGAAACUGGGGCGAAUACCGGAUAGGAGCUCCUGCUGCAUGGUGGGGGUUGGAAAGUUUCGGCGGUUGGGGAUGGACUCGCGGCUUAUCAGCUUGUUGGUGGGGUAGUGGCUUACCAAGGCUUUGACGGGUAGCCGGCCUGAGAGGGUGACCGGCCACCUUGGGACUGAGAUACGGCCCAGACUCCUACGGGCGGCAGCAGUGGGGAAUCUUGCACAAUGGGCCGAAGCCUGAUGCAGAAACGCCGCGUGCGGGAUAACGGCCUUCGGGUUGUAAACCGCUUUCGCCUGUGCCGAAGCGUGCGUGACGGUAAUGGGUCAAGAAGCACCGGCUAACUACGUG
RNAcentral lists this ribosomal RNA (468 nucleotides) under uncultured bacterium. RNAcentral's name for it is "partial 16S ribosomal RNA". It matches the Rfam family "Bacterial small subunit ribosomal RNA", at positions 28 to 507 of the family's 1533-position model. The record is from RNAcentral.